GGAGAUGCAGAACAAGCUCCGGGGGUGCUGCACCCACCACUGAGCCCAGAGGCAGACACCGGGGAGCUCACCUCAGCCCGAGUAGAUUUUCUACACCAGCUAACUGCAAGAAGCCGAGGCCUGGCCAGAGCACACAUACGUGCUGAGGAGACCGCAGCAAAGGUGAGCGUGUGUGCUGAGGAGGCUGUGACCUCGGGGCGCACAGGACUGCAGGAGACUCACGCUCUUCAUUACAAUGAAGAAACCCAGCAGCUGGUAAAUGGUGAAUGUGAACGAGUAAAGGAGCUCACUUCAGGUUAGCACAGAAUCACAGAAUAUCCAAGUUGGAAGGGACCCACAAGGAUCAUCAAAUCCUACUCCUGACUCCACACAGGACCCCCAGAAAUCAGACCCUGUGUCUGAGAGCAGUGUCCAAACAUCCCUUGAACUCCGGCAGCUUGGUGCCAUGCCCACUGCCCUGGGCAGCCUGUCCCAGUGCCAGACCACCCUCUGGGUGCAGAGCCUUUCCCUAACACCCAGCCUGACCCUCCCCUGUCCCAGCUCCGUGCUGUUCCUUCAGGUCCUUUGGCACCAGUGUUCAUUCAGGUAUCACUGAGAGAUCAGUGACAAUGCUGUGUUACAUUUCUGAUGGUGUUUUACAUCCUAUUCUUUCAUUUCAAGUUAAUUAACAUUUUGUUUAAUAAUGACACUUUUGCACAGACAGGGGACGGCUCUUGUUUGUGCAUUGGCUGGCAUCACCCCAGUGUUUAUCUGUCAAGAAUAUCUCAUUUCACUGACUUUCGGAUUAGAUUUUAAAAGCAAGACCCUAGAGGGAAAAUGCCCUUCACAUUUCUCAUGAGUCGAUGUUUAUGAUGAGCAGCGUAUGGCACUAAUUAUUUCUA
This is a long non-coding RNA of Oxyura jamaicensis (ruddy duck), 881 nucleotides long. RefSeq lists it as uncharacterized. The record is from RefSeq and is a predicted model, not a curated record. Lineage: Eukaryota; Metazoa; Chordata; Aves; Anseriformes; Anatidae. The transcript has 2 exons.